RNAcentral lists this transfer RNA (94 nucleotides) under Lasiosphaeris hirsuta. Its description in RNAcentral is "tRNA-Ile". Lineage: Eukaryota; Fungi; Ascomycota; Sordariomycetes; Sordariales; Lasiosphaeriaceae. The record is from RNAcentral.
GCCCGAUUAGCUCAGCUGGUUAGAGCGUCGUACUAAUAUUCACUCGGAAUACUAAGUAAUGCGAAGGUCAACAGUUCAAUCCUGUUAUUGGGCA